UAGGAUUGUAGUUUAUUUAGUCAGAGCACCGCCCUGUCAAGGCGGAAGCUGCGGGUUCGAGCCCCGUCAGUCUCGAUAG
This 79-nucleotide transfer RNA is filed under the name Lupinus albus (white lupine). RNAcentral describes it as "tRNA-Asp". It matches the Rfam family "tRNA". Rfam says of the family: Transfer RNA (tRNA) molecules are approximately 80 nucleotides in length. Their secondary structure includes four short double-helical elements and three loops (D, anti-codon, and T loops). Further hydrogen bonds mediate the characteristic L-shaped molecular structure. tRNAs have two regions of fundamental functional importance: the anti-codon, which is responsible for specific mRNA codon recognition, and the 3' end, to which the tRNAs corresponding amino acid is attached (by aminoacyl-tRNA synthetases). tRNAs cope with the degeneracy of the genetic code in two manners: having more than one tRNA (with a specific anti-codon) for a particular amino acid; and 'wobble' base-pairing, i.e. permitting non-standard base-pairing at the 3rd anti-codon position. Lineage: Eukaryota; Viridiplantae; Streptophyta; Magnoliopsida; Fabales; Fabaceae. The record is from RNAcentral.